Molecule: long non-coding RNA, 229 nt
Filed under: Gossypium raimondii (Peruvian cotton)
Lineage: Eukaryota; Viridiplantae; Streptophyta; Magnoliopsida; Malvales; Malvaceae
Description: long non-coding RNA (GRAI_LNC006317)
Source: RNAcentral
CUCUAUCGAAAUUUAGGAAAAUUUACUAAUUACUAAAUAAAAUCUAAAUUUUGUGAGUACUUGAGUUCUUUCAAUUUUUGGUUUCCAUAGAGAAAUUAGAACUUUCCCCAUUGAAAGUUAGAGUUUUCGUUUUGUGUUCGGUUCAAAUUAAGAGUUCACUCUCUUAACAACUAAGGGUUCAAUCGAAGAUAGCGAAGAAGAUCAGUUGGUAGAAAAAAAAAUCGGUAGG